UACAUAUACUUUAUUUUCAUAUUUAACACUAGACCUCCCUAAAAUAAAUUGCCUUUCGAUGACCAGGACGAAUUGAGUGAAAUCGUCAUGGACAGAUACAGGGCAGACAGUU
Molecule: non-coding RNA, 112 nt
Organism: Arvicola amphibius (Eurasian water vole)
Lineage: Eukaryota; Metazoa; Chordata; Mammalia; Rodentia; Cricetidae
Product: small Cajal body-specific RNA 8
Exons: 1
Source: RefSeq, a predicted model, not a curated record